AGUGAACGCUGGCGGUAGGCCUAACACAUGCAAGUCGAACGGCAGCACAGUAAGAGCUUGCUCUUACGGGUGGCGAGUGGCGGACGGGUGAGGAAUACAUCGGAAUCUACUUUUUCGUGGGGGAUAACGUAGGGAAACUUACGCUAAUACCGCAUACGACCUACGGGUGAAAGCAGGGGAUCUUCGGACCUUGCGCGAUUGAAUGAGCCGAUGUCGGAUUAGCUAGUUGGCGGGGUAAAGGCCCACCAAGGCGACGAUCCGUAGCUGGUCUGAGAGGAUGAUCAGCCACACUGGAACUGAGACACGGUCCAGACUCCUACGGGAGGCAGCAGUGGGGAAUAUUGGACAAUGGGCGCAAGCCUGAUCCAGCCAUACCGCGUGGGUGAAGAAGGCCUUCGGGUUGUAAAGCCCUUUUGUCGGGAAAGAAAAGCAGCAGGUUAAUACCCCGCUGCUCUGACGGUACCCAAAGAAUAAGCACCGGCUAACUUCGU
Molecule: ribosomal RNA, 491 nt
Filed under: uncultured bacterium
Lineage: Bacteria
Description: partial 16S ribosomal RNA
Rfam family: Bacterial small subunit ribosomal RNA
Source: RNAcentral